This 84-nucleotide non-coding RNA is filed under the name Chromera velia. Lineage: Eukaryota; Chromeraceae. The record is from RNAcentral.
UUGCUUGAUUUUGUGCUCUCUUUCUUUUGUUUCUUCCUUUUGUUCGUUCGUUCAUUUCUUUUCUUCGUUUUCUUCUCAGGAAGA